CAAGAGCGUAUGUAAAAGUUGUUGCAGUUAAAAAGCUCGUAGUUGAACCUUGGGUUUGGUUGGCCGGUCCGCUUUUUUGCGAGUACUGGAUUCAACCGAGCCUUUCCUUCUGGCUAACCAGUCGUUUCGGCGGCUGGCGAACCAGGAUUUUUACUUUGAGAAAAUUAGAGUGUUCAAAGCAGGCAUUAGCUUGAAUAUAUUAGCAUGGAAUAAUAGAAUAGGACGUUAUGGUUCUAUUUUGUUGGUUUCUAGGACCAUCGUAAUGAUUAAUAGGGACGGUCGGGGGCAUCAGUAUUCAGUUGUCAGAGGUGAAAUUCUUGGAUUUACUGAAGACUAACUACUGCGAAAGCAUUUGCCAAGGACGUUUUCAUCAA
This 374-nucleotide ribosomal RNA is filed under the name uncultured eukaryote. RNAcentral's name for it is "partial 18S ribosomal RNA". It matches the Rfam family "Eukaryotic small subunit ribosomal RNA", at positions 592 to 976 of the family's 1831-position model. The record is from RNAcentral.